This is a long non-coding RNA of Leopardus geoffroyi (Geoffroy's cat), 2210 nucleotides long. RefSeq lists it as uncharacterized. The transcript has 3 exons. The record is from RefSeq and is a predicted model, not a curated record. Lineage: Eukaryota; Metazoa; Chordata; Mammalia; Carnivora; Felidae.
AAUUGAACAGUCACAGAUGGUUUCAUUAGAAAGGUUUCAUGAUGGUUUGCAUAGCAAAAAUUGUUAUGUCUCUAGGAAAAAGGUAUCAGCUGGAAUAGUUAGAAAUGAAUAUAUCUGAGACAUUUUAAAAAUUAAAAAAUCUUGACAGAAAUUAAAACACAGAUUUAAUGGCCAGGAAUCACAAAAUAUGUUCUUUGUUUGGAGCAAGAUGUGUGAGACUAGUAAUAAUUCUGCUUUCAGAAAAUGUGAUAUAUGAGUCUAAGUGAUAAAAAAAAAGAACCUCAUAUACACAGGGACAAAUUCUACCAUAGAUCUUUAUAGAGUAUGAGAGUUCUUAGUGAACCUUUAUAAAAUUUCUUAAAAGAUGUUUAGAGUAAUUCAUUAAUUUGAUUUACAAAUUCAUUUUAGAGGAUUAUUGGUUUUGCAAAAUGUAAGCUUUUGAGGUUUUAAUUGUAUGUAUUCUUUUUUUUCUUUCAUGGAUUCCAUUUUAUAUGCAGGAUUGCGAAUAACAUAAAUUACUUUUUUGGGCAAGCUUCAUGUCACAGGUGCCAGAGACUUUCAGCCAGAAGGCCAGUUAAAUUCUUAACAAUGUAGAACUUAGAUUGGAAGUUCAUGUCUAAAUGAGAAAAACCUGUUUUCAGUAACAUGGAACAGUCCCUGAAAUUUGAGAUGACAGAAUUCUUUUGAAGCUGACGAAGAAAAGAAACAUAUUGAAACAUUGAAAACAGUCAGUCUUGCAACACGUUUGACAAGGAACUGUAAGCAUGAUUUUGAAAGAGAAGAUUCUGGGACAUAACUAGAUUUUUCCAGUUUAUCCAAGGAGAAGUGAGGAGAAGAAAGGCACAACAUGAAACAGUUCAGCGGAAGACAGAGUGAAUUGGCCAGUAAAAACCACAGUGAUCAGGUGGCUGGAAAGGUUUUAAGGACAAAGAUGUCAAAGGUUUAAUUGAAGCUGUAUGUUUUACAAUGAUGAAACCUUCUCUAAUCAUCCAAGUCUUAUAAAGAUUGCAUUACACUGUCUGUUGAGGGGAUGGGAGGAGUUGUUGGAAAUUGGGGAAGUGGCUAAUUUUCUGGUCCAGUUUGAUCCAGAAUGAAAAAAGCCCAAGCAGAAUAGCAAGUCAAUAAAUUAACUGCAGACGCUGAAGCUUGCCAUCAAAUUUGACCAAGAGAAUGCUAGCCAUCUGUGAAUUUGAAGAAAUCUUGGGGAAGGCUUUGGGUUUUCUCUGCACAUGGAAUGUAGGGCUCAUCAUAACCACCAAUAUUUUAAUGUUUAACAAAACCUGUGUUUAUCUGUUUUCUGCCUCAGCUAUAGGUGAAGUUUCCAAAUUACGCUUUGUCUGAGGGCUCUGGCCUUCCAUCUCUGAAAACCUUUGUAUGUGAGCAUUUAUCUCACCUUUUAAAUCCUAGCUCAAAUGUCAAUUUUCCCAUAAAGGCUUUCCUGAUUUCCCCAACCAAAAUUAAUGUUUCUUCUAAAUAUCCACAGAACCUUGCUUAUAUAUCUUCUGUAGUUUUAAAUCAUAUGUACUUGACUUGUGAUUUCUGAGCGCACUGAAUCUUACCUAUUAAUAGUAUAUUUUUUGAAAAAAGAAACAUUUACUUCUGUUCCCCAUGAUAACUUCUAUACAUUAUGUGCUCAUUAAUUUUUUUCUAACUCUAGGACUGAACAGUCCAUCUUAAAGUAUGUUAAGGUCUUUUUUGUUGUUAUAUACUUUAUAUUUUUCUUUCCAAAUUGUACAUUUACUAUCAGUGAUCCAGACCUGUUCAGGAAGUGCUCAUUAGUAAGGGACAGAUGCCUAAAGUCAGGGAAAAGUGCCAAUCGUCAUCACCAUCGAUGAGAAAUGGGUACCAGUAUGCGUCUGUCAUGGGUAUGAGUGGGAGCUCAUGACAUGGAGUAUUAAAAGAAGUUGAAGAGAGGAAGAAAGAAAAAUGCUACCUCGUCUUCAGAAAGGUAGACAGGGAAAACUGAAAAGUAGAUAAAUUACAUGUAUAAACAUAUGGCCCUUCUUGUAGAAUUACACUUAUUUUUUCUAUUAAAUCUUCUCACAAUAAGACACAUUAAUCUUUAAGAGACUUUUUGUUAUUACUACUAUCCGUUUUUAUUUCUGGUUUAAGUGUACUAAUUUAGGAAAUCCAGGACUUUUAUUCUUCCAUACAAGCCAGAAGUUAAUAUUUGGACCUAUUUAAUAUUCAACAGGAAGAAAAUGGAAGUG